This 468-nucleotide ribosomal RNA is filed under the name uncultured bacterium. RNAcentral's name for it is "partial 16S ribosomal RNA". It matches the Rfam family "Bacterial small subunit ribosomal RNA", at positions 28 to 507 of the family's 1533-position model. The record is from RNAcentral.
GACGAACGCUGGCGGCGUGCUUAACACAUGCAAGUCGAACGGAAAGGCCCUGCUUUUGUGGGGUGCUCGAGUGGCGAACGGGUGAGUAACACGUGAGUAACCUGCCCUUGACUUUGGGAUAACUUCAGGAAACUGGGGCUAAUACCGGAUAGGAGCUCCUGCUGCAUGGUGGGGGUUGGAAAGUUUCGGCGGUUGGGGAUGGACUGGAGGCUUAUCAGCUUGUUGGUGGGGUAGUGGCUUACCAAGGCUUUGACGGGUAGCCGGCCUGAGAGGGGGACCGGCCACAUUGGGACUGAGAUACGGCCCAGACUCCUACGGGAGGCAGCAGUGGGGAAUAUUGCACAAUGGGCGGAAGCCUGAUGCAGCAACGCCGCGUGCGGGAUGACGGCCUUCGGGUUGUAAACCGCUUUCGCCUGUGACGAAGCGUGAGUGACGGUAAUGGGUAAAGAAGCACCGGCUAACUACGUG